This 465-nucleotide ribosomal RNA is filed under the name uncultured Klebsiella sp. RNAcentral's name for it is "bacterial SSU rRNA". It matches the Rfam family "Bacterial small subunit ribosomal RNA", at positions 338 to 795 of the family's 1533-position model. Lineage: Bacteria; Pseudomonadati; Pseudomonadota; Gammaproteobacteria; Enterobacterales; Enterobacteriaceae. The record is from RNAcentral.
CCUACGGGAGGCUGCAGUGGGGAAUAUUGCACAAUGGGCGCAAGCCUGAUGCAGCCAUGCCGCGUGUGUGAAGAAGGCCUUCGGGUUGUAAAGCACUUUCAGCGGGGAGGAAGGCGUUAAGGUUAAUAACCUUGGCGAUUGACGUUACCCGCAGAAGAAGCACCGGCUAACUCCGUGCCAGCAGCCGCGGUAAUACGGAGGGUGCAAGCGUUAAUCGGAAUUACUGGGCGUAAAGCGCACGCAGGCGGUCUGUCAAGUCGGAUGUGAAAUCCCCGGGCCCAACCUGGGAACUGCAUUCGAAACUGGCAGGCUAGAGUCUUGUAGAGGGGGGUAGAAUUCCAGGUGUAGCGGUGAAAUGCGUAGAGAUCUGGAGGAAUACCGGUGGCGAAGGCGGCCCCCUGGACAAAGACUGACGCUCAGGUGCGAAAGCGUGGGGAGCAAACAGGAUUAGAUACCCGGGUAGUC